Molecule: non-coding RNA, 571 nt
Filed under: Alloprevotella sp. oral taxon 473 str. F0040
Lineage: Bacteria; Pseudomonadati; Bacteroidota; Bacteroidia; Bacteroidales; Prevotellaceae
Description: Prevotella sp. oral taxon 473 str. F0040 Bacterial large subunit ribosomal RNA
Rfam family: Bacterial large subunit ribosomal RNA
Source: Rfam by way of RNAcentral
AAGGAAGUAAUUAAGGGCGUACGGUGGAUGCCUAGGCUCUUACAGGCGAUGAAGGACGUGAUAAGCUGCGAUAAGCUGUGGGUAGGUGCAAAUAACCAUUGAUCCGCAGAUUUCCGAAUGGGACAACCCAGCAGGUUGAAGACCUGUUAUCCCGCAAGUGCGGGAGGCUAACGGGGGGAACUGAAACAUCUUAGUACCCCUAGGAAAAGAAAAUAAUAAUGAUUCCCCUAGUAGUGGCGAGCGAACGGGGAAUAGCCCAAACCAUAUAGAUUUCGGUCUAUAUGGGGUUGUAGGACCACGCUGUUGCACGAAAUACAGUUAGAGGAACGCUUUGGAAAGAGCGACCAUAGAGAGUGACAGUCUCGUACUCGACAAUUGUAUGAAGCAUAGUGGUAUCCUGAGUAGGGCGGGACACGUGAAAUCCUGUCUGAAUCCGGCGGGCCCAUCCGCCAAGGCUAAAUACUCGUAAGAGACCGAUAGCGAACCAGUACCGUGAGGGAAAGGUGAAAAGCCCCUCUUUUAGAGGAGUGAAAAAGUUCCUGAAACCGUACGCCUACAAGCGGUCGGAGCA